Molecule: ribosomal RNA, 447 nt
Filed under: uncultured bacterium
Lineage: Bacteria
Description: partial 16S ribosomal RNA
Rfam family: Bacterial small subunit ribosomal RNA
Source: RNAcentral
AGCGAACGCUGGCGGCAGGCUUAACACAUGCAAGUCGAACGCCCCGCAAGGGGAGUGGCAGACGGGUGAGUAACACGUGGGAACGUACCCUUUGGUUCGGAAUAACUUGGGGAAACUCAAGCUAAUACCGGAUAAGCCCUUAUGGGGUAAGGUUUACUGCCGAAGGAUCGGCCCGCGUCUGAUUAGCUAGUUGGUGAGGUAAUGGCUCACCAAGGCGACGAUCAGUAGCUGGUCUGAGAGGAUGAUCAGCCAAACUGGGACUGAGACACGGCCAAGACUCCUACGGGAGGCAGCCGUGGGGAAUAGUGGACAAUGGGGGCAACCCUGAUCCAGCCAUGCCGCGUGAGUGAUGAAGGCCUUAGGGUUGUAAAGCUCUUCUACCCGGGACGAUAAUGACUGUACCGGGAGAAUAAGCCCCGGCUAACUUCGUGCCAGCCGCCGCCGUAA